UGGCGACCUGAACAGAUGU
Molecule: microRNA, 19 nt
Filed under: Mus musculus (house mouse)
Lineage: Eukaryota; Metazoa; Chordata; Mammalia; Rodentia; Muridae
Description: mmu-miR-7228-5p
Source: miRBase by way of RNAcentral